AUACUUACCUGGUAGGAGAAAUAUUAUGGUCCCGAACGUGGUUUUCCCCGGGGGAGGCUUAUACAUUGUACUCGGCAUAUGCUGAUCUUUGGGAUUUCCCCUGGCGUGGGAAAUUCGACUACAUAAUUUGUGAUAGUUGGGGACUGCGUUCGCGCUUUCUCCUG
Symphalangus syndactylus (siamang) is the source of this 164-nucleotide small nuclear RNA. RefSeq annotates it as U1 spliceosomal RNA. Lineage: Eukaryota; Metazoa; Chordata; Mammalia; Primates; Hylobatidae. The record is from RefSeq and is a predicted model, not a curated record.